GCACCGUUUUGUUGGAAUUGGCUUGGUCUCUGGCUUGUCUUCGGGGAUGCGUUGCUUGCGCCGUGGGGACGAUAAGGACCCAGAGCACAUCCGUUGCAGUCCCUUGCAGUCCCUUGCGAGUUUUCUAUCCAUCACAGAGUUGCAGUUUGCACGAGACUCACCGCCACCCAACAUCCAGCCAGCAGGGGACAGACAGAUAGUGCCACGCCAUCAAUGUUCGGUUGUUAGCAACCCCACCAAAAAUCAUGGGCUUUUGUUUGACGUAGAAUAAUGGUUGGGAUUACAUCGAAUUCAAGCUAAGCCAGUCAUGGGAUGGGAGAAUCGAGAUGCUAAAACGAAUCCAUGGUUUACAUUAUCUUACGUACCUACACAGGCAGGUUAACAAUCUUCGUUGCUACUUUUGUUGCCUUUUCCCAAUUUCCCUAUUUUUACCACCAUAUUUGAGAACAAGCCCAAUUCAAAGAAACGCUACAGAGGAGAUAUGAGAAAGAGUGCUGAAAGCAAUAAGGGAAAAAACGCUAAGAGAGAUAUGGCAGCAAGUUGAGAACCCCCAAUCAUGAUGCAGAAGGGAAGGACAGAACGGACAAAAUAACCAGAACCCAUGCCCUAACAAGAUGACAAAAAAAAAAAAAACCUAAAAAACUAAAAAUAAUGAAAGAAAGAAAGAAAAAGAAAGAAAACGAAAGAAAAUCAUUGCACUACUAUCAAACUAUCGGCGACAUACUCUAGCGGUCACACUCCAAUAGAGCAUAGCAGUACCAUCAUUCUCGGGGUACAUCCCGUGGUAUCAGCCGGAUUCGGAGCCCUCACAGCAUUCCGGGUAUACCCCACCUCUGCCAGUUGACAGGACACACACCGUUCCCAAUAUGCGGCCUCAACAUUCUGACCGCUGAUAUCGUUCCAAACAACGGCUGCGGCAUGGCAAGCGUUUACUAUGAUAUUCCAUGGGUGGAGAUUCUCAAUGAUCGUGACCAUUCCGUGGUUUUCCUGAUGAGAUGAAGUCUAAGUUGCAAAGCCAUGAACUCGACCUCGUUGAUGAGAGGGGCAGUUGCUAUAAAGACAUGGCCAGGAGAAUUACGCAAAAACGUGGAGAGCUCGCCGUCAAGGAUUUUUCAGUGUUCUGAGAGCGGACAUGGGAACUUCACCGGACCUGGGCGCUCCAAAACUGCCGUUUAGAUAGAUGCGGAUUGAUUGUUUCCCUUUAUAAUCGAGUCUGGCCCGGAUUUUUCUCCGGCUUGAAUUCUGUUAUGCGACAAUGAGUCAAGAACAGGAAACCCCAUCCAUCUGCUUGUCCGCGGGUCGUCACAGUCGGAGUCUUUUCGGCGUGGUGUUCUGACACCACUGCGAUUGUGAGAAUUCCGAUCACUUUGCUUCAAUACCUCCAACUUCUAAUCUCACUGGAGGCAGCGGCUGGGAUCGCUGUCUUAUCGGCUGUGGUGCUGACGAUGUUUGUGCAUGUGUUCGAAACCACGGCAUAGGUCCAAACGAGGAUACAAAGAUCCAGAGGAUGCGGAGCAAAUGGAUGUCCUCCAUUGUCUGGGCUUCCCAUUGGCCACUCACAAUGCUAUUACGAUACCAAGCAAACUCGACACCAAUCAAUUCGAAACUUAAAGAAUUAAUAUUAGCGCCAGCACCAGCAAGCAUCGCCCUGCUGAAACCCUGAUCAGGACAGGCUACAUCAACUUGAAUAUCGCACUUACCCAACACCACAGGGCGAGCAAGCAAAACGAAUGACAACACCCACACCCUUUUCCAAAAUCCGAACCAAACAAGAGGUUAAAAAAGAAAGAAAGAACGGAAAAGAAAACCCACUCAAUCCCCCCCUUCCCCAGGCCCCCGUCGCUGAACCACCCUAAGGAAAACAUGAACAACCACCACAAGAGCCACCAACUGGCACACAUGCAUGACCUGCUGCGCUACGAUUUGAACCUGUAACCGCCGCUCCAGGCCCUCUAAUAACCCGACGGGCCGAUAUUCCGUAAUUCGAAGUCGCCGCAGUAGCCCUUCCAGGUAGCCGCCGCGGUAUGGGCUGUCGGCUUGGGCUUCAUCCCGGGCUCGGGCUGUGGCUGUGGUUGUGGCUUGGUCGCUGUCGUCGCUACUAUCAUCGCUGCUGGAAGAUGGGAUAACCUUGUUGUCCAUUUUGGGGGAAUUGGGUUGGGUGUGUGCGGGUUGCUUGGGGUUGUAAGGUGGGGGAGAGGGUCCUGACAAUGGGAUAGAUUAGAUAUAGGAUGUAGAGAUAUUGAAGCGGUUGUAUGUAUGUAGUUAAACGAGCGUGAGGGUUGCAGGAGGGAGGGAUCAUUUCGGGAACCCUUUUUUUUUUUCUUCUUCUUCUUUUUGGUUCUUGGUUUUCGGGGAUGUUAUGUUGCGCGUCUUCGCGAGGAAGGUGCAAAGCAGGAGUGUGGACGUGGACAUGAUUAGAGGAAGGGGCGACGGCGUGUGUAUGCUGUGCAUGUUGAUGUUGUACUGUACCUAAAUAAACAGGAACGGUGCAGGCGCGGACGGACCAGAAGCAGUAAGUUUCAAUACAAUAACCCCACGGAUUUAAGGUAUUUAUUUAUUUAUUUAUUUUUGGAAAACACAUUUCCCCAAACAUAAGCAUGGGCAAGGUAGCUAGCUAACUGACAGAUUUAUUAUUCCUUCGAUUUCCAGGAAAUGCUGAUAGAUGGAUAGAACCGAUAGAUAGAGCGUUCGAUAUCCCGACCCGACCCCCAAAACCCUCCACAACUAUCUCUUUUCAUGGGCCCCUAAAGCGUAUUAAAAAGAAAGAAGAAAAAAAAUGGGGAAAGAAAAGAAAAGGAAAGAAAAAAUAAAGAAAGAAUAGAAAAACAUGCCCAGCCUCCAUUUUGGUUCCGGUUUUUGUGCCGUUCCUUUUUUUUGUUUUGCCGGGGGGGAAACAUACACCCUUUUUGAAAAAAAAAAGAAAAGAAAAGAAAAACACCCCGAGGAAUCAAUCGUGGCUGGUCGACCAAACCGAAAAACAAAGAUCUGUAGAGAAGGGGGAAACGAAAACGAAAGGGAACUCCCCGAAAGAUCAAAAAUUAAAAAAAAAAAUCUUUGUCAAAUAGUACUACUGUACACGACAUGCUAUGCUACAUGCUUUGAAAAGAAGAAGAAGAAGAAGAAACGUGAUGUGUUUUUUCCAUUUUCUAUCAUUUCAUUUUCGCGUCCUUGAUCGUGCACUUCACGCGGCCGUCGCCCACUGGACGACCUUGAGCGCAAGGAUGACGAGGAGGAGGGUGGAGGGGAGGAUCCUGUUGUUAUCGUUGCUUCGUCGUUAGGAUGCACGUACGCUUCCAAAAAAAUAUACCCUAGAGAAGAAAGAAAAAGAGAAGAAAGAAAGAAAGAAACCCACCAGACAACAUAGCUCUGGAACAGCAGCCGGGCCAUCGCGCCCAUGUACACGUUGUUCAGCUGGCAGAUCUGCGCCAGCUGCAACGCGGACGGCGCGCCAGCGAGCAGGAAGCACACGACCACGAAGAUGGGGUCGUCCAGGAUGCUGACGGAGACGAAUUUGGCGGCCAGCGCGAGCAGGGGGCCCAUGAUCAAGGUGGGCAGCAACAUGCGCGCGAGC
This 3571-nucleotide small RNA is filed under the name Histoplasma capsulatum. RNAcentral describes it as "hypothetical RNA". The record is from RNAcentral. Lineage: Eukaryota; Fungi; Ascomycota; Eurotiomycetes; Onygenales; Ajellomycetaceae.